RNAcentral lists this transfer RNA (76 nucleotides) under Clostridiaceae bacterium. RNAcentral describes it as "tRNA-Gln". It matches the Rfam family "tRNA". Rfam says of the family: Transfer RNA (tRNA) molecules are approximately 80 nucleotides in length. Their secondary structure includes four short double-helical elements and three loops (D, anti-codon, and T loops). Further hydrogen bonds mediate the characteristic L-shaped molecular structure. tRNAs have two regions of fundamental functional importance: the anti-codon, which is responsible for specific mRNA codon recognition, and the 3' end, to which the tRNAs corresponding amino acid is attached (by aminoacyl-tRNA synthetases). tRNAs cope with the degeneracy of the genetic code in two manners: having more than one tRNA (with a specific anti-codon) for a particular amino acid; and 'wobble' base-pairing, i.e. permitting non-standard base-pairing at the 3rd anti-codon position. The record is from RNAcentral. Lineage: Bacteria; Bacillati; Bacillota; Clostridia; Eubacteriales; Clostridiaceae.
UGGGGUGUAGCCAAGGGGGUAAGGCACGGGACUUUGACUCCCGCAGUCGCAGGUUCAAAUCCUGCCAUCCCAGCCA